CAUCCAGACUCCUACGGGAGGCAGCAGUGGGGAAUAUUGCACAAUGGGGGAAACCCUGAUGCAGCGACGCCGCGUGAAGGAAGAAGUAUUUCGGUAUGUAAACUUCUAUCAGCAGGGAAGAAAAUGACGGUACCUGACUAAGAAGCCCCGGCUAACUACGUGCCAGCAGCCGCGGUAAUACGUAGGGGGCAAGCGUUAUCCGGAUUUACUGGGUGUAAAGGGAGCGUAGGCGGUUCAGCAAGUCAGAAGUGAAAGCCCGGGGCUCAACUCCGGGACUGCAUUUGGAACUGUGUGGCUGGAGUGUCGGAGAGGCAGGCGGAAUUCCUAGUGUAGCGGUGAAAUGCGUAGAUAUUAGGAGGAACACCAGUGGCGAAGGCGGCCUGCUGGACGAUGACUGACGUUGAGGCUCGAAAGCGUGGGGAGCAAACAGGAUUAGAUACCCUAGUA
This 447-nucleotide ribosomal RNA is filed under the name uncultured bacterium. RNAcentral describes it as "bacterial SSU rRNA". It matches the Rfam family "Bacterial small subunit ribosomal RNA", at positions 328 to 792 of the family's 1533-position model. The record is from RNAcentral.